UUGAACGCUGGCGGCAUGCUUUACACAUGCAAGUCGAACGGUAACAGGUCUUCGGAUGCUGACGAGUGGCGAACGGGUGAGUAAUGCAUCGGAACGUGCCCAGUCGUGGGGGAUAACGCAGCGAAAGCUGUGCUAAUACCGCAUACGAUCUAUGGAUGAAAGCGGGGGAUCGCAAGACCUCGCGCGAUUGGAGCGGCCGAUGUCAGAUUAGCUAGUUGGUGGGGUAAAGGCCCACCAAGGCGACGAUCUGUAGCUGGUCUGAGAGGACGACCAGCCACACUGGGACUGAGACACGGCCCAGACUCCUACGGGAGGCAGCAGUGGGGAAUUUUGGACAAUGGGCGCAAGCCUGAUCCAGCCAUGCCGCGUGAGUGAAGAAGGCCCUCGGGUUGUAAAGCUCUUUUGUUGGGGAAGAAAAGCAGUUGGUUAAUACCCGAUUGUUCUGACGGUACCCAAAGAAUAAGCACCGGCUAACUUCGUG
RNAcentral lists this ribosomal RNA (481 nucleotides) under uncultured bacterium. Its description in RNAcentral is "bacterial SSU rRNA". It matches the Rfam family "Bacterial small subunit ribosomal RNA", at positions 30 to 507 of the family's 1533-position model. The record is from RNAcentral.